Molecule: long non-coding RNA, 1115 nt
Filed under: Medicago truncatula (barrel medic)
Lineage: Eukaryota; Viridiplantae; Streptophyta; Magnoliopsida; Fabales; Fabaceae
Description: long non-coding RNA (MTRU_LNC007681)
Source: RNAcentral
CAAACCAAAACCAACUUCUAAGAAAAAAAUGAGGUCCCUAAUGGCCUCUGCUUCUCUCACUCUUGCAUUAGCCAUCCUCUUUUUGAGUUUCCCAUCUGAAAUUUCAGCAAACAAAUACGCAUAUUCCUCUCCACCACCACCACAUUACUCAUCUCCUCCACCUCCACCGGUUCACACUUACCCUAAACCAGUCUACCACUCUCCACCACCACCAGUUCACACCUACCCUAAACCAGUUUACCACUCUCCACCACCACCAGUUCACAAGUACCCUCACCCUAAACCAGUAUACCACUCUCCACCACCCCCAGUUCACAAGUACCCUCAUCCACACCCAGUCUACCAUUCUCCACCACCCCCAGUUCACAAGUACCCCCAUCCUCACCCAGUGUACCACUCUCCCCCACCACCACCACCAAAGAAGUCCUACAAAUACCCAUCUCCCCCACCACCACCAGUUCACACCUACCCUAAACCAGUCUACCACUCUCCUCCACCCCCAGUUCAUCACACCUACCCUAAACCAGUCUACCACUCUCCUCCACCCCCAGUUCACACCUACCCUCACCCUAAACCAGUCUACCACUCUCCACCACCCCCAGUUCACACUUACCCUAAACCAGUCUACCACUCCCCACCACCACCAGUUCACACCUACGUCCCUCACCCUAAGCCAGUCUACCACUCUCCACCACCACCAGUUCACACCUAUCCCCCACAUGUUCCCCACCCAGUUUACCAUUCUCCUCCUCCUCCAGUUCAUUCCCCACCUCCACCACACUAUUACUACAAAUCACCUCCUCCACCUUACCACAACUAGAUAGCCCAUAAUUGGCAUCACACCAUAUGGUAACUUUUCAUGCAACAUAUAUAUUAUAACUUUUCAUAUUCUCUCUUUAUUAACUAGUUAUCGGUAUGAUUGUCGAGUAUAUACUAACAAGGCUAAUUUGAAAUGAAACUUCAUGUGCAAUGAAACAUUCUUUUACUGGUUAAUAUUUUAUUCUAUGUUUCAUUGAAAUUAAUAUUUUUCUAAUAGUAUUUGGUUAUUAAGGGAUUAGAGUAUAUCAGACAUAAACUGACAGAUCAAUAUAUUUGCAUUUGUGUAGGAUCUAAAC